GGGUGACAAGCAGGGAACAAGUAGAACAGCAGAUAUAUGGAUGCUACAAAGUAUGGACCCAUGGCAAUUCAAAAGAGGUCACUAGUGGAUUCAGUAGGGAUAUGUCAAGCUUGAUUGUCCAGGUAGCACUUGGGGCAUCUGGAUAAAAAUAGAAGCAUUGCAGGGACACACAUACGAUAAUGUGACACCUCUAAUCGCAAUA
Molecule: long non-coding RNA, 202 nt
Filed under: Elaeis guineensis (African oil palm)
Lineage: Eukaryota; Viridiplantae; Streptophyta; Magnoliopsida; Arecales; Arecaceae
Description: long non-coding RNA (EGUI_LNC015568)
Source: RNAcentral